AAAAAAAUCUGUAUAUCUUAUUUUAUGUAUAAAUAAAUUUUAUAUGGUUUAAAAAAUUUAUUUUAAACUUAUUUUACAUAUAAAUUUUAGUGUUAAUAAUAAACUAUUUUAAAAAUAUUUAUUAAAUGUAGUAAUUAAUAUUAAAAAUUUAAGAGAUUAAGAUUUAGUAAUAUAAUAAUUAAUAACAAAUUUUGUGCCAGCAGUUGCGGUUAUACAAAAAUUAAAUUAAAUUUUAUUAGUUAUUAAUUAAUAAUUAUGUUUAUUUAUGAAUUAUAUUUAAAAUUAUUAGGUGAAAUUUUAAUUUUUGUAAUAUUCAUUAAUUAAUUAAAAUUAUGAUUUUUAAUAAAUUUUAUUAUUAAACUAGGAUUAGAUACCCUAUUAUUUAAAAUUUAAAUUAAAUAUGCUUAAAUAGUAAAUAAUUAUUUAUUAAAACUUAAAUAUUUUGGCGGUGUUUUAGUUUAUUUAGAGGAAUCUGUUUAUUAAUCGAUAAUCCACGAAUGAAUUUACUUAAUUUAUUAUUUUGUAUAUCGUUGUUAAAAAAAUAUUUUUUAAUAAUUAAAUAAUAUUUAAGAAUUAAUAUAAAAAAUUAAAUCAAAUCAAGAUGCAGAUUAUAAUUAAGAAUAUAAUGGAUUACAAUAAAUUUAUUUAAAUGGAUUUUAAUUUGUAAUAAUUAAAUAAAAGUGGAUUUAAAUGUAAUUUUAUUUAAUUUAAUAAAAUGAUUUAAAAUUAGAAUAUGUACAUAUUGCCCGUCGCUUUCAUUUAUAAAUUGAAAUAAGUCGUAACAAAGUAGAGGUACUGGAAAGUGUCUCUAGAAAGA
RNAcentral lists this non-coding RNA (817 nucleotides) under Pseudomiza obliquaria. Lineage: Eukaryota; Metazoa; Arthropoda; Insecta; Lepidoptera; Geometridae. The record is from RNAcentral.